RNAcentral lists this ribosomal RNA (429 nucleotides) under Chloroflexota bacterium. Its description in RNAcentral is "Chloroflexi bacterium partial 16S ribosomal RNA". It matches the Rfam family "Bacterial small subunit ribosomal RNA", at positions 355 to 776 of the family's 1533-position model. Lineage: Bacteria; Bacillati; Chloroflexota. The record is from RNAcentral.
UGGGGAAUAUUGCACAAUGGGCGCAAGCCUGAUGCAGCCAUGCCGCGUGUAUGAAGAAGGCCUUCGGGUUGUAAAGUACUUUCAGCGGGGAGGAAGGGAGUAAAGUUAAUACCUUUGCUCAUUGACGUUACCCGCAGAAGAAGCACCGGCUAACUCCGUGCCAGCAGCCGCGGUAAUACGGAGGGUGCAAGCGUUAAUCGGAAUUACUGGGCGUAAAGCGCACGCAGGCGGUAUGUCAAGUCGGAUGUGAAAUCCCCGGGCUCAACCUGGGAACUGCAUUCGAAACUGGCAGGCUAGAGUCUUGUAGAGGGGGGUAGAAUUCCAGGUGUAGCGGUGAAAUGCGUAGAGAUCUGGAGGAAUACCGGUGGCGAAGGCGGCCCCCUGGACAAAGACUGACGCUCAGGUGCGAAAGCGUGGGGAGCAAACAGG